UUGACCUCGGAUCAGGUAGGGAUACCCGCUGAACUUAAGCAUAUCAUAGGCGGAGGA
This 57-nucleotide ribosomal RNA is filed under the name Penicillium janthinellum. Its description in RNAcentral is "partial 28S ribosomal RNA". Lineage: Eukaryota; Fungi; Ascomycota; Eurotiomycetes; Eurotiales; Aspergillaceae. The record is from RNAcentral.